GUGCCGCGGCUGCCGGAUGCGGCCCGCGUCACCGCCGGGGCCCGGGUGCCGGACGCCGGUACCGGUACGGGUUCCGCCGCCCGCGCGGCACG
RNAcentral lists this transfer RNA (92 nucleotides) under Streptomyces hygroscopicus subsp. hygroscopicus. RNAcentral describes it as "tRNA-Gly". The record is from RNAcentral. Lineage: Bacteria; Bacillati; Actinomycetota; Actinomycetes; Kitasatosporales; Streptomycetaceae.